This is a long non-coding RNA of Taeniopygia guttata (zebra finch), 3400 nucleotides long. Lineage: Eukaryota; Metazoa; Chordata; Aves; Passeriformes; Estrildidae. The record is from Ensembl.
UUUUUUUUUUUUUUGAGGGAAAUCCAUAAUUUCCUUUUGAGAGAGAAUAGGAAUGAAAGGGAAAUCCCAGAAAUUCUCCUCCCAUUCUCUCUGUACUUGAAAUAUUAUUAACACUUUCAUUUUCUCACUCCUACUUUCACCAUUUGAAUCUGGGUCAUAACAGCAUGCCUACCCUUCAGUACCCCUGAGUGGGUGGUUGUUUUGGCUGGAACUAAGGCAUACUUGCUUUGUGACACAGAGUGCCCUUAUGGUGACACAUACCUGUCCUUUUCAGUUAGUCUUUUUUUUUAAUAAUCUUGUUUAUUAUAAAAAUGGACUAAAGGGUAGAAUUCAUGUUAUUCAGUAUUCACAUUGGUUUAGCAAUGUGUGAAAGGAAAACCUAUGAAAUACUUUAGUCUGUUCUUUUCACAAAAUUGGAUUAUUCCCUACAGCAUCUUUCCUUUUCCCUUACCAAAUACCUUUUCCUUAGUAAAAUAAUUUGAUGCAUGCUCUAACCUCUAAUACACAGCACAUGACUGAAGUCAGGCUCAGUUCCUAGCACUCAGUUCUUAAGAUCCAAAAUGAACAAUCUGCAGAGCUAGAGUUAAAUUACAGUAAAUGUUAAAUUCACUUAGUGCCAGGCUGCUUAUAUACAGAGAGUGUCAGACCGAUAUGAAUUCUUGCAUGAAAAGACAAGAGGGACCAAACGAGAUAUGUGAAAUAAGCUAAAUCUUCAAAUUUCCCUGCUAGCCUUAAAACAAAAUCAAGAACUUGUUCAUAAAAGGCUUAAAUGAUGUGCAGCAGAAUGGGAAUGACACCUGUAGAUUUAUGCCCUUUCCGAGAAAAUUAGGUCUCCUAUUGACUCUGCAUGUGUCUCGUUGCAAUGCUUCUUUCUAUCCUGUUAGAGGGGUGGAAAGACUCUGGGAGCAAAUAAUUCUGGACUUCUACAAAAGUUGCAGAGAGAUGAGAUACUAUUUUUCUGAAUUAAAACAUCUACCAUUCUGAGUGUGAUUCCAAUGAAGAUAAAGAAGAGAGAUUGUUCUGCAUGGUUUUGUUUUUCCCAGUUAUUAAAUGAUCAUUAAUUACUUGGCAAUAAUUCUAAACAGCUGCUAUUUUAAAAGUUCUAUAAAAUCAUUACCAACAACCUGUUCAAAGUAGUUCACACCUAUUUGCUUUUAGUUAAGUACUAAAGUACUAAGUAGACUAACAUAAAUUACUUGUGUAAUUAUACACAGUAUUAAAACAAUCUUAAAAUUAUAUAAAUAUAAGUUAACUGUUUGCUUUCACUAUAACUGCCACAAAACAAAUGCAAGAUUUGCAAGAAUUUGCAAGCUGUAGAGAGAAAUAAUGCAGUGUUAGUUUUAUAAUUUAGUGUACAGGACACAUUUGUGCUACAGCUCUGUAAACUGGGCCCGUGGUCAAAAGGAGCAAUUAGCACUUUGUUAGUAUGCAAUGAUGUACUAAUCUACACAGUCCCCAAAAGCAAUUGUCUAUUCCUUUUGCCCUCAUGUACAAAUUUUCUACAGUAUGUACUACUCUGCCCCUAAAAUAGCCCAUUACAGCACAGCUGCUGUAAAAAAAGUUUCCUGUGAUUACAAUCUAUGUAUCACUUAGAAUUUGUUUAUUGGAAUAAAAACCAUGUUGUUCCAUUAACCCCUUUUUCUGUGCUGAGAUAGCUGCAUAGCUCUCUGAAAGUGUUACACAGCUGUAACUGUUCUAUUAAAGAGCAAAAGAGGGUCAAAUUUAGGUGACAGAAUAUUUCCAUCUGUACCCUCUCUAAAGGUUUCUCGUAACUAAAAUAAACUGUUGCAAGCCGUGAUCUCCAGAAAAAUAAGCCAGGCGCUAAAAGUGGAUGGAUGGUAAAAAUCAGAGAAAGUAUCGAUAACACUGACAACUGUGAGAGGACUAAACCCUAAUAUUCUGUGAGUGUUCCACAUCCCCCUCUUGUGGCUGCUAUGUAAAGGAUGUGAAUCUAUCACGAGUAGCACUUAAAUUAACAUUGAAUAUAGAUGGCUUUUGUGAUAGUCACCCGAGAUGGUCCACAGUGAGGGCUACAAAAAUCAAGGAGGAAAACAAGGCAGUACACCGCCAGAAAUCUGAGAGUGUUAGAGCCUUGUUGUUAAAGACCUAGUUUCAAAGGCUAUUUUCCAAAAAUCAGGCUCUUUAUAGGCUAUCUCAGCUGUGGCACCCACCAGCCAAAACACCUUCAGCCACUAACCAUUUUGGAAAAUCUUGGCAGUGCAAUAUGUGCCUACCCACUAAGGGGGUACAGGCACCCUCUCCUCCCUAUUUCAGUUGCCUAGACGCAAGCUAAUACUGCAGUUUCGUAUUUACCCAGCAAAACUUAUAAGGUAUCUACCACAGGGUUAUAGUUCCAAAAAGGGUUAUGAACACUGAGACAUUAGCUCCUUCAGACUAAUAUUGAAAUUUAACCCUCAAGUUAAAGGAGAAAAUAAAAAAGAAAGUUCUGUGAACUGACAGCACAAUCAGUAACAUAUUAGAAUGAACAUUCAUGGGGACCUCUAAAUAAAAAGAUAUCCUUCAGAUAUCUUAAGAGUCACUGCCAUAUAGCUGUCUUUGAUAAUAUGCAUGAAAAGCUCUUUGGCUCUUCAGACUAUGAGAACAAUGGGCACACCCUGGGAUUUGACAGGAGGAAGGGAAGAACAGUGAAAAGGUUUAAAUAUAAAUAAAUAUCAUUACCUAAACUCCUUGCAACACUGCAUAAACUAAUAUAUUCCUUCUAACUUUUGGAAAGAAAUAAAUUAGAGAUUAUAUUGGGAUGAGACUACUUAGAUCAAUUUUAACAUAUAGAACACCCUAACAUUACAAAAUUUAUUAAUGGCUCUGUUACACAGCAAAAUAGUUCUACUAAGGUCAUAUCAACUACUUGUCCACCUCAUUCAAUUCCUUUUGCAAGCAGCAGUACCUGAUUCAUUUGAUUUCCUCCAUCUGUCUUUCUGUUUCCCCAGUUCAGCACUCCAGGACACCACCUUUUGCAAAGAAUGCUUUAAAUUUGCUCUGGAAAGAAAAUAUAGCAGCUUGGAUAUUAUCCAACAGGGCUAGCAUAGAGAAGAUUUCUUUGCUUGUUUGCUCCCAAGCUGCAGAAAGCUAUCUGAAAUAUUUGUAACACUACUGAAUUAGUUUUCAUUUACUUCAUUUAGCUUUCAUUGUCAAUGAGUUUUGUAACAGAGCAGUGGUAGGUGAGGAGUAGAUAAUAUGUUAACAAGAAGACUGUUCCUGUCUCUACUUAGUGUCAGCACCUGCCAUUUGGGAUUCUCUCCAAAAUUUGUGUUCCAUUUGUGAGAAUACUGAAAAACAAUGAAGAGACUUACUGAGAAUUCUAGUUCUGCUUGUCUACACUUACUUGGCAAAUUAAUAAAGAAAAAGAAACGAACAUACUGAAUUGCAAGCUUUCAGCUAU